UCUUCUUCUCCUUCUUCUUUUCUUUUUUUUUUGAAAAUUGUCAGCUGUUUUAUAAAUCAACGAAAUUAUACAUAACGACCCACCCAAAUAGGGUUGUUAGAAAGAGCUGUUACUUAAGCAAUUCAACCCUUUAACAAAUAAUGAAACCCAUCUAAAAAUACCCACACUACCUGCGAAUAACUAAAAUGUGCUUAGAUCUCUUGGCAACAAUCUUACGUUCUACAAACUUCUCCCUCAAAAGAGGAGAAAUCUACAAAAUAACAAUAAAAAUAAAAAUGAAACCCUAACCAAUGCAGCCCAAGCCCAAGAGAAAAAAAGUAAGCCUACGAGGGAAAGGACCAGCCCACGAAUUUGGGGAGAAUCCUAGCCACAGGCUUGGCCACCUGAACAACCUGUGGACAACCACAGCCUCCGCCAGCAAACCGCCGCGCCUUCCGAAAACUAAUUCGGACCCACGCCAGAGGAGGGCCACCACAAUAGCGCCCCAACCACCAUAUCUCAUCUAUGGUCAACACAUCCUUGGAGAAAUCGACUUCACCAAUCGGAGCCGCAUCAACGGCCUCCCAAAACCCGCAGAUCGAACCCUGUGUCCAUCAAUCCAAUCCAAAUAAAGAAGAAGGACAAGAGUCCAACAAGUUGCGAACCACGCCAAGGAUCUCCAUCUCCAUUGUUCGCCGGGUGACCAGAGAAAGGGGAAAGCCCACCCACACCAGCUAAAUUUACCGGGCCGUCGCUGAGGUCAGAGAGAAGGAGCUAGGAUCUAUGGAGACUGAAACUGAAACUGCUAUGAGGCUAUGAUUUCAGUUACAUUGCAGCAAAUCCUACUUCGUAACGAAAACUAGCCAGAAAGUAUAUGGACCGAGAGAUGCACAUACAUAGUCCAGUAACACAACACCCGAUGACAAUAAUAAUAUAAUAGCGUUGACGAAGACCUUGCAAUGCGCGACGUCUUUUUCUUCAUCAUUUCUUCAAGGAUGGUUCUUGGCUGACCAGGUGUGGCUAGCACCUCCUGACCAGGUUUUGAGAUGUCCCUCUUGUAAUGUUACACGUGUCCCUUCUUCCUUUUCUACUUUUAUCUUUUUUUUUUCUUUUUCAGUUAUCAAUCCUGCAAAAUAGAUUCCUAAAGCACAGAUCUAGCCUUCAACAUGCCACAUUUUCACCUAACGACUUCCUGUCUAAGAGCAUCUCCAAUGGAGUAGUUAAAAUGCUUGUGUCAAAUUCAAAUUUGAAAGCUGAUGUGUCAAUUGUCAUUUUUGACAAAUUUCUACUCCAGUGAAUAUGUUAAAUUUAAAUAUUAUUAUAUUAUUUUUUUAGAAUAUUUUAUAACAAAAAUAAACCAUUUUUAUCCAACAUCUCCCACUUCUUCUUCUCUGUUCUUCUUGCUGCCGCACAACUCCGCUGCAUCUCUCUGGUAAGUGGUAAUAUACUAAUUUUGACAAAACACCAAUUCCUUCUUCUUCCACAUGUUUCGAACCCCAAUUUCCAGAUAUGCCACACUUCUCAUAAACUCAAAUCCCAAUUAAUUCUUAUUCACAAACCCAAUUCCCAUAAUCACAAAAAAAAAAGCUCAAAUCUUUGGUGCCAAACAGCAAAUCCUACCUGCAACAUACCACCCACCAUCUUCAAAUCCCGCCACCACCGAGACAAACAUCUAUCAUGAAAGGUUUUUCAUGACUUAAUUUGGUCUGGGUAGGAUGAAAGAGAGAGAGUUUUAGUAUGUUAUUCUCUUAUGAUUUUAUUAGAACUCUAGUUGAAAUCGAACUCAUCCAUGGUGAAAAGCUACUCGUGGUGAGGUUGAGGACAUAGAGAUUUUGGUGUAUUCAUGGUGAGAAAGAGCUAUUCAUGGUGAGGAGAUCUGGGUAGGAAUCUGAUGGGUUUGGUCUGGGAAGAACGAUAGAGAAUUAGAGAGGAGAAGAAAAGAGAGAGAAGGAAAGAGA
Molecule: long non-coding RNA, 1937 nt
Organism: Rosa rugosa (rugosa rose)
Lineage: Eukaryota; Viridiplantae; Streptophyta; Magnoliopsida; Rosales; Rosaceae
Exons: 2
Source: RefSeq, a predicted model, not a curated record